This 70-nucleotide transfer RNA is filed under the name Cylix sp. z GS-2022. Its description in RNAcentral is "tRNA-Gln". It matches the Rfam family "tRNA". From Rfam's summary of the family: Transfer RNA (tRNA) molecules are approximately 80 nucleotides in length. The record is from RNAcentral. Lineage: Eukaryota; Metazoa; Chordata; Actinopteri; Syngnathiformes; Syngnathidae.
UAGGAAGUGGUGUAGUGGAAGCACCAAGAGUUUUGAUCUCUUUGGCGGGGUUCGAAUCCCCUCUUUCUAA